UUGACCUCGAAUCAGGUAGGAAUACCCGCUGAACUUAAGCAUAUCAAUAAGCGGAGGAAAAGAAACCAACCGGGAUUACCUCAGUAACGGCGAGUGAAGCGGUAACAGCUCAAAUUUGAAAUCUGGCUCCUUCGGAGUCCGAGUUGUAAUUUGUAGAAGAUGCUUUGGGUGAUGGGUGCGGCCUAAGUUCCUUGGAACAGGACGUCAUAGAGGGUGAGAAUCCCGUAUGUGGCCGCGGCCCACGCCCGUGUAAAGCUCUUUCGACGAGUCGAGUUGUUUGGGAAUGCAGCUCAAAAUGGGUGGUAAAUUUCAUCUAAAGCUAAAUAUGGGCCAGAGACCGAUAGCGCACAAGUAGAGUGAUCGAAAGAUGAAAAGCACUUUGGAAAGAGAGUUAAACAGUACGUGAAAUUGUUGAAAGGGAAGCGCUUGCAACCAGACUUGGGCGCUGCCGAUCACCUCGAGUUCUCUCGAGUGCACUCGACAGCGCACAGGCCAGCAUCGGUUCGGGUGGCUGGAUAAAGGCCGUAGGAACGUAGCUGCCUUCGGGGAGUGUUAUAGCCUACGGUGCCAUGCAGCCCAGCCGGACCGAGGACCGCGCCUUCGGGCUAGGAUGCUGGCGUAAUGGUUGUAAGCGACCCGUCUUGAAACACGGACCAAGGAGUCUAACAUCUAUGCGAGUGUUUGGGCGUUAAACCCAUACGCGGAAUGAAAGUGAACGUAGGUGAGAACCCCCGGUGGGGCGCAUCAUCGACCGAUCCUGAUGUCUUCGGA
RNAcentral lists this ribosomal RNA (771 nucleotides) under Erysiphe huayinensis. RNAcentral describes it as "partial 28S ribosomal RNA". It matches the Rfam family "Eukaryotic large subunit ribosomal RNA", at positions 1 to 784 of the family's 3401-position model. The record is from RNAcentral. Lineage: Eukaryota; Fungi; Ascomycota; Leotiomycetes; Helotiales; Erysiphaceae.